Molecule: ribosomal RNA, 440 nt
Filed under: uncultured bacterium
Lineage: Bacteria
Description: partial 16S ribosomal RNA
Rfam family: Bacterial small subunit ribosomal RNA
Source: RNAcentral
CCUACGGGAGGCAGCAGUGGGGGAUAUUGCACAAUGGGGGGAACCCUGAUGCAGCGACGCCGCGUGGGUGAAGAAGCGCCUCGGUGCGUAAAGCCCUGUCAGCAGGGAAGAAAAUGACGGUACCUGAAGAAGAAGCCCCGGCUAACUACGUGCCAGCAGCCGCGGUAAUACGUAGGGGGCAAGCGUUAUCCGGAUUUACUGGGUGGAAAGGGGGCGCAGACGGCGAUGCAAGCCAGGAGGGAAAGCCCGGGGCCCAACCCCGGGACUGCUCUUGGAACUGCGUGGCUGGAGUGCAGGAGGGGCAGGCGGAAUUCCUGGUGUAGCGGUGAAAUGCGUAGAUAUCAGGAGGAACACCGGUGGCGAAGGCGGCCUGCUGGACUGCAACUGACGUUGAGGCCCGAAAGCGUGGGGAGCAAACAGGAUUAGAUACCCCAGUAGUC